This 393-nucleotide ribosomal RNA is filed under the name uncultured bacterium. Its description in RNAcentral is "partial 16S ribosomal RNA". It matches the Rfam family "Bacterial small subunit ribosomal RNA", at positions 523 to 918 of the family's 1533-position model. The record is from RNAcentral.
AUACGGAGGACGCGAGCGUUAUCCGGAUUCAUUGGGUUUAAAGGGUGCGCAGGCGGCCGUGCAAGUCAGCGGUGAAAGCCCGGGGCUCAACCCCGGAAGUGCCGUUGAUACUGCGUGGCUGGAAUGCGGUCGAGGCGGGCGGGACGGGGCGGGUAGCGGUGAAAUGCGUAGAUAUGCCACAGAACGCCGAUAGCGGAGGCGGCGCGCCAGGCCUGCAUUGACGCGCGGGCACGAAAGCGUGGGGAGCGAACAGGAUUAGAUACCCUGGUAGUCCACGCCGUAAACGAUGGGCGCUCGUCGUCGGCGACAGACAGUCGGCGGCCAAGCGAAAGCGAUAAGCGCCCCACCUGGGGAGUACGGUCGCAAGGCUGAAACUCAAAUGAAUUGACGGGG